This is a non-coding RNA of Gorilla gorilla gorilla (western lowland gorilla), 57 nucleotides long. The record is from Rfam. NCBI's taxonomy places the organism in Eukaryota, Metazoa, Chordata, Mammalia, Primates, Hominidae.
UAAAUGCAGCUAUCAAAAAACAAGUUGCAAUUUAUAGAGCACAAAGUCUCUCUUCUU